This 253-nucleotide ribosomal RNA is filed under the name uncultured bacterium. Its description in RNAcentral is "partial 16S ribosomal RNA". It matches the Rfam family "Bacterial small subunit ribosomal RNA", at positions 524 to 776 of the family's 1533-position model. The record is from RNAcentral.
UACAGAGGUGGCAAGCGUUGUUCGGAUUCACUGGGCGUAAAGGGUGCGUAGGCGGUCGGGUAAGUCUGAUGUGAAAUCUCAGAGCUCAACUCUGAAACUGCAUUGGAUACUAUUCGGCUUGAGGUCUGGAGGGGGGACUGGAAUUCUCGGUGUAGCAGUGAAAUGCGUAGAUAUCGAGAGGAACACCAGUGGCGAAGGCGGUUACCUGGAGCUUUGCUGACGCUGAUGCGCGAAAGCGUGGGGAGCGAUCCGG